This 460-nucleotide ribosomal RNA is filed under the name uncultured bacterium. Its description in RNAcentral is "partial 16S ribosomal RNA". It matches the Rfam family "Bacterial small subunit ribosomal RNA", at positions 338 to 795 of the family's 1533-position model. The record is from RNAcentral.
CCUACGGGGGGCAGCAGUGAGGAAUAUUGGUCAAUGGACGAGAGUCUGAACCAGCCAAGUAGCGUGAAGGAUGACUGCCCUAUGGGUUGUAAACUUCUUUUAUAUGGGAAUAAAAUGUUCCACGUGUGGGAUUUUGUAUGUACCAUAUGAAUAAGGAUCGGCUAACUCCGUGCCAGCAGCCGCGGUAAUACGGAGGAUCCGAGCGUUAUCCGGAUUUAUUGGGUUUAAAGGGUGCGUAGGUGGAUUGUUAAGUCAGUUGUGAAAGUUUGGGGCUCAACCGUAAAAUUGCAGUUGAAACUGGCAGUCUUGAGUACAGUAGAGGUGGGCGGAAUGCGUGGUGUAGCGGUGAAAUGCUUAGAUAUCACGAAGAACUCCGAUUGCGAAGGCAGUUCACUGGACUGCAACUGACACUGAGGCUCGAAAGUGUGGGUAUCAAACAGGAUUAGAUACCCUGGUAGUC